AACGAACGCUUUCUUCCUUCCUAACACAUGCAAGUCGAACGAGACCUUCGGGUCUAGUGGCGCACGGGUGCGUAACGCGUGGGAACCUGCCCUUAGGUUCGGAAUAACUCCCCGAAAGGGGUGCUAAUACCGGAUAAUGUCUUCGGACCAAAGAUUUAUCGCCUUUGGAUGGGCCCGCGUUGGAUUAGCUAGUUGGUAGGGUAAAAGCCUACCAAGGCGACGAUCCAUAGCUGGUCUGAGAGGAUGAUCAGCCACACUGGGACUGAGACACGGCCCAGACUCCUACGGGAGGCAGCAGUGGGGAAUAUUGGACAAUGGGCGAAAGCCUGAUCCAGCAAUGCCGCGUGAGUGAUGAAGGCCUUAGGGUUGUAAAGCUCUUUUACCCGGGAUGAUAAUGACAGUACCGGGAGAAUAAGCUACGGCUAACUCCGUG
This 433-nucleotide ribosomal RNA is filed under the name uncultured bacterium. RNAcentral's name for it is "partial 16S ribosomal RNA". It matches the Rfam family "Bacterial small subunit ribosomal RNA", at positions 29 to 507 of the family's 1533-position model. The record is from RNAcentral.